AUCCAGGUGACGAGUCCCAAAUAGGACGAAACGCGCGUCCUGGAU
This is a non-coding RNA of Schistosoma mansoni, 45 nucleotides long. The record is from Rfam. Lineage: Eukaryota; Metazoa; Platyhelminthes; Trematoda; Strigeidida; Schistosomatidae.